AGCCAUGCAUGUCUAAGUAUAAGCAAUUAUACAGCGAAACUGCGAAUGGCUCAUUAUAUAAGUUAUCGUUUAUUUGAUAGUACCUUACUACUUGGAUAACCGUGGUAAUUCUAGAGCUAAUACAUGCUGAAAAUCCCGACUUCGGAAGGGAUGUAUUUAUUAGAUUAAAAACCAAUGCCCUCUGGGCUCCUUGGUGAUUCAUAAUAACUUUUCGAAUCGCACGGCCUUGCGCCGGCGAUGGUUCAUUCAAAUUUCUUCCCUAUCAACUUUCGAUGUUUGGGUAUUGGCCAAACAUGGUCGCAACGGGUAACGGAGGGUUAGGGCUCGACCCCGGAGAAGGAGCCUGAGAAACGGCUACUACAUCCAAGGAAGGCAGCAGGCGCGCAAAUUACCCAAUCCCGAUUCGGGGAGGUAGUGACAAUAAAUACUGAUACAGGGCUCUUUUGGGUCUUGUAAUUGGAAUGAGUACAAUUUAAAUCUCUUAACGAGGAACAAUUGGAGGGCAAGUCUGGUGCCAGCAGCCGCGGUAAUUCCAGCUCCAAUAGCGUAUAUUAAAGUUGUUGUGGUUAAAAAGCUCGUAGUUGAACCUUGGGCCUGGCUGGCCGGUCCGCCUCACCGCGUGUACUGGUCCGGCCGGGCCUUUCCCUCUGUGGAACCUCAUGCCCUUCACUGGGUGUGGCGGGGAAACAGGACUUUUACUUUGAAAAAAUUAGAGUGCUCCAGGCAGGCCUAUGCUCGAAUACAUUAGCAUGGAAUAAUAAAAUAGGACGUGUGGUUCUAUUUUGUUGGUUUCUAGGACCGCCGUAAUGAUUAAUAGGGACAGUCGGGGGCAUCAGUAUUCAAUUGUCAGAGGUGAAAUUCUUGGAUUUAUUGAAGACUAACUACUGCGAAAGCAUUUGCCAAGGAUGUUUUCAUUAAUCAGGAACGAAAGUUAGGGGAUCGAAGACGAUCAGAUACCGUCGUAGUCUUAACCAUAAACUAUGCCGACUAGGGAUCGGACGAUGUUAUUUUUUGACGCGUUCGGCACCUUACGAGAAAUCAAAGUGCUU
RNAcentral lists this ribosomal RNA (1049 nucleotides) under Beauveria pseudobassiana. RNAcentral's name for it is "SSU rRNA". It matches the Rfam family "Eukaryotic small subunit ribosomal RNA", at positions 47 to 1108 of the family's 1831-position model. Lineage: Eukaryota; Fungi; Ascomycota; Sordariomycetes; Hypocreales; Cordycipitaceae. The record is from RNAcentral.